RNAcentral lists this ribosomal RNA (305 nucleotides) under uncultured bacterium. Its description in RNAcentral is "bacterial SSU rRNA". It matches the Rfam family "Bacterial small subunit ribosomal RNA", at positions 334 to 636 of the family's 1533-position model. The record is from RNAcentral.
AAGCACCUACGGGGCGCAGCAGUGAGGAAUAUUGGUCAAUGGUCGGGAGACUGAACCAGCCAAGCCGCGUGAGGGAGGAAGGUACAGAGUAUCGUAAACCUCUUUUGUCAGGGAACAAAGGCGGGGACGUGUCCCCGGAUGAGUGUACCUGGAGAAAAAGCAUCGGCUAACUCCGUGCCAGCAGCCGCGGUAAUACGGAGGAUGCGAGCGUUAUCCGGAUUUAUCGGGUUUAAAGGGUGCGCAGGCGGUCUGUUAAGUCAGCGGUCAAAGCCCGGGGCUCAACCCCGGCCCGCCGGUGAAACUGG